Molecule: long non-coding RNA, 292 nt
Filed under: Brassica rapa (field mustard)
Lineage: Eukaryota; Viridiplantae; Streptophyta; Magnoliopsida; Brassicales; Brassicaceae
Description: long non-coding RNA (BRAP_LNC006019)
Source: RNAcentral
CGAAUGGUGACUGCGGUUUGAGCGGUGCGGGACAAACGGUUCAAUUGCGGUGCGGUUUUAACAGUUAUAAAAACGUAUAGAUAUAUGGUAUAUAUAGAGAUUUUUGUUACUGUUAACUGCGGUGCGGGACAGGGCGAUUGUAAACAUUCGAAGCCUUAAGUUUUUUCCACCUUAUUCAUGUAUACUUUUUUUUUACGACAAACACCAUGCUUUAUUAAUUCAAGACGAAUAUGUUAGCUUUUGAAGCUAACCAUGUCGGAAUCAAAGAGUUUACAUGGGAAAAAACUGAGUU